CCUACGGGUGGCAGCAGUGGGGAAUAUUGCACAAUGGGGGAAACCCUGAUGCAGCGACGCCGCGUGAGCGAUGAAGUAUUUCGGUAUGUAAAGCUCUAUCAGCAGGGAAGAAAAUGACGGUACCUGACUAAUAAGCCCCGGCUAACUACGUGCCAGCAGCCGCGGUAAUACGUAGGGGGCAAGCGUUAUCCGGAUUUACUGGGUGUAAAGGGAGCGUAGACGGCUGUGCAAGUCAGAUGUGAAAGCCUGGGGCUCAACCCCGGGACUGCAUUUGAAACUGUGGGUCUGGAGUGUCGGAGAGGUAGGCGGAAUUCCUAGUGUAGCGGUGAAAUGCGUAGAUAUUAGGAGGAACACCAGUGGCGAAGGCGGCCUGCUGGACUAUAACUGACGUUGAGGCUCGAAAGCGUGGGGAGCAAACAGGAUUAGAUACCCCAGUAGUC
Molecule: ribosomal RNA, 440 nt
Filed under: uncultured bacterium
Lineage: Bacteria
Description: partial 16S ribosomal RNA
Rfam family: Bacterial small subunit ribosomal RNA
Source: RNAcentral